This 19-nucleotide non-coding RNA is filed under the name Arabidopsis thaliana (thale cress). Lineage: Eukaryota; Viridiplantae; Streptophyta; Magnoliopsida; Brassicales; Brassicaceae. The record is from RNAcentral.
UGUUGAUGAAUAUGGUAGA